CAGCAGCCGCGGGAAUACGAAGGGGGCUAGCGUUGUUCGGAUUUACUGGGCGUAAAGCGCACGUAGGCGGACUUUUAAGUCAGGGGUGAAAUCCCGGGGCUCAACCCCGGAACUGCCUUUGAUACUGGAAGUCUUGAGUAUGGUAGAGGUGAGUGGAAUUCCGAGUGUAGAGGUGAAAUUCGUAGAUAUUCGGAGGAACACCAGUGGCGAAGGCGGCUCACUGGACCAUUACUGACGCUGAGGUGCGAAAGCGUGGGGAGCAAACAGGAUUAGAUACCCCCGUAGUCCCGUCUCUUAUACA
This 301-nucleotide ribosomal RNA is filed under the name uncultured bacterium. Its description in RNAcentral is "partial 16S ribosomal RNA". It matches the Rfam family "Bacterial small subunit ribosomal RNA", at positions 509 to 808 of the family's 1533-position model. The record is from RNAcentral.